GAUGAACGCUGGCGGCGUGCCUAAUACAUGCAAGUCGAGCGAACAGACGAGGAGCUUGCUCCUCUGACGUUAGCGGCGGACGGGUGAGUAACACGUGUAUAACCCACCUAUCAGACUGGGAUAACUUCGGGACACCGGAUCUAACCCCGGAUAAUAUAUUGAACCGCAGGGUUCAAUGGUGAAAGACGGUUUUGCUGUCUCUUAUAGAUGCAUCCCCGCCGCAUUAGCUAGUUGUUAAGUUAACGGCCUACCAAGGCAACGCUGCGUAGCCGACCUGAGAGGGUGAUCGGCCACACUGGAGCUGAGACACGGUCCAGACUCCUACGGGAGGCAGCAGUAGGGAAUCGGCCGCAAUGGGCGAAAGCUUGACGGAGCAACGCCGCGUGAGUGAUGAAGGUCUUCGGAGCGUAAAACUCUGUUAUUAGGGAAGAACAAAUGUGUAAGUAACUAUGCACGUCUUGACGGUACCUAAUCAGAAAGCCCCGGCUAACUACGUG
Molecule: ribosomal RNA, 497 nt
Filed under: uncultured bacterium
Lineage: Bacteria
Description: partial 16S ribosomal RNA
Rfam family: Bacterial small subunit ribosomal RNA
Source: RNAcentral